AGAUUGAACGCUGGCGGCGUGCCUAACACAUGCAAGUCGAGCGGUAACAGGUGUAGCAAUACGUGCUGACGAGCGGCGAACGGGUGAGUAAUGCUUUGGAAUCUUCCCAGUAGUGGGGAAUAACCAGUCGAAAGAUUGGCUAAUACCGCAUAAGUCUGUAAAGGGAAAGCGGGGCUCGUAAGACCUCGCGCUAUUGGAUGAGCCAAAGUCGGAUUAGCUAGUUGGUGGGGUAAUGGCCUACCAAGGCGACAAUCCGUAGCUGGUCUGAGAGGACGACCAGCCACACCGGAACUGAGACACGGUCCGGACUCCUACGGGAGGCAGCAGUGGGGAAUAUUGGACAAUGGGGGAAACCCUGAUCCAGCGACGCCGCGUGUGUGAAGAAGGCCUGCGGGUUGUAAAGCACUUUUAGUGGGGACAAAAGCUACGGACUAAUAUUCUGUGGUCUUGAUUUAACCCAAGAAAAGCACCGGCUAACUCUGUGCCAGCAGCCGCGGU
Molecule: ribosomal RNA, 498 nt
Filed under: uncultured bacterium
Lineage: Bacteria
Description: SSU rRNA
Rfam family: Bacterial small subunit ribosomal RNA
Source: RNAcentral